RNAcentral lists this long non-coding RNA (243 nucleotides) under Elaeis guineensis (African oil palm). Its description in RNAcentral is "long non-coding RNA (EGUI_LNC013721)". Lineage: Eukaryota; Viridiplantae; Streptophyta; Magnoliopsida; Arecales; Arecaceae. The record is from RNAcentral.
ACAGCUUUGUAAUCAUAGCGACAGAAUUGUAAGAUGAACAAAGUCAGAAGAAUUAAGACCAGAACAGCUUACUCAUAUACCUUGGGGAGCAACUUGGCUGAUAUCGACAUUAAACAAUGUCUAAGCCGAUUGCAGCUCCUUCAACCCUAGAAUCUUGAAGCCCCACAGAGCUGCCAUCUCCUGCUCCAGGGUCUUAUUCAUUAAAGGCUCCUUUAACAAAGCCUCUUGGGGUUCGCCCCAGGU